UUCUAUGUUUGCAGUAAAAUUUGCAUGAAACCUAGAAAGAUUUGUUUCUAAAGAGGUGAACCAUUCUAACAUCUGUUUGCACAUGAUCCCAGAUGCUCGAGGAUGCCAAUUUCCAUAGUGUCAUCGCCCAAGACCGCACCGACCAGUUCCUGGGGUCCUGGAGAGGUAGCUACCUUUAACCGAGAAGACCAAACAGGCUUUCUAGGCACCUAUGUUAACGUUUUGAAUCCUAUUUAUUUUGUGCCUUUUCUUUUCAUCAUCUCUGGUUAGUCACUAUAUCCACCUAUGUUCUAUCACUGGGAGGACUACGACGACAUCGUAAAGGGCUUGAGCUUGAAGCUGAAGCAGAGCUGCUUGAGUGAUCCACUGCUUGAGGUGAUAGGAAUAUAUUGUUGUGGCAUUACAGUGGCGUAUUGGUAAUUGAUAGUGCUGAUUCCGGAUACAUGUAAACUCCUUAUAAAUACUUUCAUUUAUACCGUGAAUAUGUUGUGGUGCUGCCGUCGUGUAUAUAUGUGUCACAUGUUACUACUUCUAAGACAAGGCUUAUGAUUUCAAUAUGUA
This is a long non-coding RNA of Lolium rigidum, 561 nucleotides long. RefSeq lists it as uncharacterized. The record is from RefSeq and is a predicted model, not a curated record. The transcript is spliced from 2 exons. Lineage: Eukaryota; Viridiplantae; Streptophyta; Magnoliopsida; Poales; Poaceae.